Molecule: ribosomal RNA, 323 nt
Filed under: Amblyomma dissimile (iguana tick)
Lineage: Eukaryota; Metazoa; Arthropoda; Arachnida; Ixodida; Ixodidae
Description: partial large subunit ribosomal RNA
Source: RNAcentral
UUGAGUGCUAAAAGAAUGGAAUUACAAAAAAAGGCKUUUUUAAUUUUAAAAAUUAAAAUUAUUUUUUUUUGUGAAGAAACAAAAAUUUAAAUUAAAGACAAGAAGACCCUAAGAAUUUUUUUUUUUANUUAAAAUAAUAUNUUUAUUUUAAAAAUUUAAUUGGGGCGAUUAAUUAAUAUUAAAAACUUUAUUAACAAAAAAAANUGAUCCAUUAUUAAUGAUUAUUUGAUUAAAAUACUCUAGGGAUAACAGCGUAAUAAUUUUUGAUAGUUCUUAUAGAAAAAAUAGUUUGCGACCUCGAUGUUGGAUUAGGAUUCUUUUUU